RNAcentral lists this ribosomal RNA (355 nucleotides) under Blastocystis hominis. Its description in RNAcentral is "bacterial SSU rRNA". It matches the Rfam family "Eukaryotic small subunit ribosomal RNA", at positions 678 to 1034 of the family's 1831-position model. The record is from RNAcentral. Lineage: Eukaryota; Bigyra; Opalinata; Blastocystidae.
AUUAUGGUAUUCAACUACCCUCCUUCUAAAUUCGAUAUAUGAGUAUUAAUUUACUUGUAUAUGGUUUUAGACGUUUACUGUGAGAAAAUUAGAGUGUUCAAAGCAGGCAUUUGCUUGAAUAUAUUAGCAUGGAAUAAUCAUGUAUGAUUUUCAUGAUGUAUUUGAUUGGUUUGGUUCAUGAGAAUAAGAUUAAAAGGGACAGGUGGGGGUAUUCAUAUUCAAUAGACAGAGGUGAAAGUCUCGGAUUUAUGGAAGAGGAACAAGUGCGAAAGAUUCUACCAAGGAUGUUUUCAGUAAUCAAGAACGAAAGUUAGGCGAUCGAAGAGGAUUAGAUACCCUCGUAGUCUUAAGUAUA